GAUGAACGCUGGCGGCGUGCCUAAUACAUGCAAGUCGAACGCUUUGUGGUUCAACUGAUUUGAAGAGCUUGCUCAGAUAUGACGAUGGACAUUGCAAAGAGUGGCGAACGGGUGAGUAACACGUGGGAAACCUACCUCUUAGCAGGGGAUAACAUUUGGAAACAGAUGCUAAUACCGUAUAACAAUGACAACCGCAUGGUUGUUAUUUAAAAGAUGGUUCUGCUAUCACUAAGAGAUGGUCCCGCGGUGCAUUAGCUAGUUGGUAAGGUAAUGGCUUACCAAGGCGAUGAUGCAUAGCCGAGUUGAGAGACUGAUCGGCCACAAUGGGACUGAGACACGGCCCAUACUCCUACGGGAGGCAGCAGUAGGGAAUCUUCCACAAUGGGCGAAAGCCUGAUGGAGCAACGCCGCGUGUGUGAUGAAGGGUUUCGGCUCGUAAAACACUGUUGUAAGAGAAGAAUGACAUUGAGAGUAACUGUUCAAUGUGUGACGGUAUCUUACCAGAAAGGAACGGCUAAAUACGUGCCAGCAGCCGCGGUAAUACGUAUGUUCCAAGCGUUAUCCGGAUUUAUUGGGCGUAAAGCGAGCGCAGACGGUUAUUUAAGUCUGAAGUGAAAGCCCUCAGCUCAACUGAGGAAUUGCUUUGGAAACUGGAUGACUUGAGUGCAGUAGAGGAAAGUGGAACUCCAUGUGUAGCGGUGAAAUGCGUAGAUAUAUGGAAGAACACCAGUGGCGAAGGCGGCUUUCUGGACUGUAACUGACGUUGAGGCUCGAAAGUGUGGGUAGCAAACAGGAUUAGAUACCCUGGUAGUCCACACCGUAAACGAUGAGUGCUAGGUGUUUGAGGGUUUCCGCCCUUAAGUGCCGCAGCUAACGCAUUAAGCACUCCGCCUGGGGAGUACGACCGCAAGGUUGAAACUCAAAGGAAUUGACGGGGACCCGCACAAGCGGUGGAGCAUGUGGUUUAAUUCGAAGCAACGCGAAGAACCUUACCAGGUCUUGACAUCCCUUGACAACUCCAGAGAUGGAGCGUUCCCUUCGGGGACAAGGUGACAGGUGGUGCAUGGUUGUCGUCAGCUCGUGUCGUGAGAUGUUGGGUUAAGUCCCGCAACGAGCGCAACCCUUAUUACUAGUUGCCAGCAUUCAGUUGGGCACUCUAGUGAGACUGCCGGUGACAAACCGGAGGAAGGUGGGGAUGACGUCAAAUCAUCAUGCCCCUUAUGACCUGGGCUACACACGUGCUACAAUGGCGUAUACAACGAGUUGCCAACCCGCGAGGGUGAGCUAAUCUCUUAAAGUACGUCUCAGUUCGGAUUGUAGGCUGCAACUCGCCUACAUGAAGUCGGAAUCGCUAGUAAUCGCGGAUCAGCACGCCGCGGUGAAUACGUUCCCGGGUCUUGUACACACCGCCCGUCACACCAUGAGAGUUUGUAACACCCAAAGCCGGUGGGGUAACCUUCGGGAGCCAGCCGUCUAAGGUGGGACAGAUGAUUAGGGUGAAGUCGUAACAAGGUAG
This 1516-nucleotide ribosomal RNA is filed under the name uncultured Weissella sp. RNAcentral describes it as "bacterial SSU rRNA". It matches the Rfam family "Bacterial small subunit ribosomal RNA". Lineage: Bacteria; Bacillati; Bacillota; Bacilli; Lactobacillales; Lactobacillaceae. The record is from RNAcentral.